AUUGAACGCUGGCGGCAUGCCUUACACAUGCAAGUCGAACGGCAGCACGGGUGCUUGCACCUGGUGGCGAGUGGCGAACGGGUGAGUAAUACAUCGGAACGUACCUUAUCGUGGGGGAUAACGCAGCGAAAGCUGUGCUAAUACCGCAUACGCCCUGAGGGGGAAAGCGGGGGAUCGCAAGACCUCGCGCGAUUAGAGCGGCCGAUGCCUGAUUAGCUUGGUGGUGGGGUAAAAGCCCACCAAGGCGACGAUCAGUAGCUGGUCUGAGAGGACGAUCAGCCACACUGGGACUGGGACACGGCCCAGACUCCUACGGGAGGCCGCAGUGGGGAUUUUGGACAAUGGGGGCAACCCUGAUCCAGCAAUGCCGCGUGUGUGAAGAAGGCCUUCGGGUUGUAAAGCUCUUUUGUCAGGGAAGAAACACCGGCUCUAACACAGUCCGGGAAUGACGGUACCUGAAGAAUAAGCACCGGCUAACUACGUGCCAGCCGCCGCGGUAA
Molecule: ribosomal RNA, 500 nt
Filed under: uncultured bacterium
Lineage: Bacteria
Description: partial 16S ribosomal RNA
Rfam family: Bacterial small subunit ribosomal RNA
Source: RNAcentral